This 884-nucleotide ribosomal RNA is filed under the name uncultured archaeon. RNAcentral's name for it is "bacterial SSU rRNA". It matches the Rfam family "Archaeal small subunit ribosomal RNA", at positions 4 to 893 of the family's 1478-position model. The record is from RNAcentral.
CCGGUUGAUCCUGCCGGACCCGACUGCUAUUAGAGUGAGAUUAAGCCAUGCGAGUCAACGUAUGAAUAAUACGUGGCGAACGGCUCAGUAACACGUAGUCAACAUGCCCAGAGGACGUGGAUAACCUCGGGAAACUGAGGAUAAACCGCGAUAGGUCAUAAUUACUGGAAUGUGUUAUGGCCCAAAUCUAUAUGGCCUCUGGAUUGGACUGCGGCCGAUCAGGCUGUUGGUGAGGUAAUGGCCCACCAAACCUUUUACCGGUACGGGCUCUGAGAGGAGGAGCCCGGAGAUGGGCACUGAGACAAGGGCCCAGGCCCUAUGGGGCGCAGCAGGCGCGAAACCUCUGCAAUAGGCGAAAGCCUGACAGGGUUACUCUGAGUGAUUCCCGCUAAGGGAAUCUUUUGGCAUCUCUAAAAAUGGUGCAGAAUAAGGGGUGGGCAAGUCUGGUGUCAGCCGCCGCGGUAAUACCAGCACCCCGAGUGGUCGGGACGAUUAUUGGGCCUAAAGCAUCCGUAGCCGGUCUUGCAAGUUUUCCGUUAAAUCCAGCUGCUUAACAGAUGGGCUGCGGAGGAUACUACAAGGCUAGGAGGCGGGAGAGGCAAGCGGUACUCAGUGGGUAGGGGUAAAAUCCUCUGAUCCAUUGAAGACCACCAGUGGCGAAGGCGGCUUGCCAGAACGCGCUCGACGGUGAGGGAUGAAAGCUGGGGGAGCAAACCGGAUUAGAUACCCGGGUAGUCCCAGCUGUAAACGAUGCAGACUCGGUGAUGGGCCGGCUUUAUGCCGGCUCAGUGCCGCAGGGAAGCCGUUAAGUCUGCCGCCUGGGGAGUACGGUCGCAAGACUGAAACUUAAAGGAAUUGGCGGGGGAGCACCACNAAGGGGGAAG